RNAcentral lists this unclassified non-coding RNA (311 nucleotides) under Hevea brasiliensis (rubber tree). The record is from RNAcentral. Lineage: Eukaryota; Viridiplantae; Streptophyta; Magnoliopsida; Malpighiales; Euphorbiaceae.
GUGAUCGUCUCCUUUAGUUUCUGUGGUGAAGCUUAUCUGAAUAUAUCUCUUUACUUAAUUCCCAUUUUCUCCUAAUUACUAAAUUUAGAAAAAAUGGAGUUUCCUUGGUAUUCUGUUGUUGUUCCUCUGAUUGUUUUCCUUUUCUUUCUUCAUAACUGCUUAUUUACCAUUUUUAAUACGAGUAACAAAAAAUUACCACCAUCUCCAAGAAAGCUCCCAAUCAUAGGAAAUUUGUAUCAACUUGGGUUGCAUCCUCACCGUUCUCUCUAUAAACUAUCGAAAAAAUAUGGUCCAGUCAUGCUACUUCACUU